GCUGGUCCAAAAGAAUCAAAACAAAGCAGAAACACGGCCCGAUCCAAGUGAAAUCACGCUCAAGCGUCGCAGAGGGGACGCCCGGGCGUGAAUUGAGGGUCAUAUAAGGCCCAAGCGUCAGAAUUGGACGCCCAGGCUUCGAAGUGCCACUGCCCGAGCAUUGAGUGCCACCACCCGGGCGGUGAGCGUCGAUUCUACGCGCUUGGUUUGCGCUCCAGGACGCCCGGGCUUCACGUUUGCCCUCCUUUUGGUGCCUUUUUAGCCUCUUCUGAGCUUCAUCUUCUUGGC
This 288-nucleotide long non-coding RNA is filed under the name Vigna radiata. Its description in RNAcentral is "long non-coding RNA (VRAD_LNC006951)". The record is from RNAcentral. Lineage: Eukaryota; Viridiplantae; Streptophyta; Magnoliopsida; Fabales; Fabaceae.